RNAcentral lists this ribosomal RNA (1143 nucleotides) under Triticum aestivum (bread wheat). RNAcentral's name for it is "partial small subunit ribosomal RNA". The record is from RNAcentral. Lineage: Eukaryota; Viridiplantae; Streptophyta; Magnoliopsida; Poales; Poaceae.
AUGGCUUGGGGUCAGGGUGCUAGAAGGCCCAUACUAGGGCUUCUGUCUCGUGCUCAACGACAAGCCGCUCGAGGGUAUACUUCUGCAACGUUCGAAACUCAUCUGUCGAGCAAUCAUUUUGCCCAAAAUGGCAUGAUUCGUAGGAGAUUUAGCUCUGAGGUGCCUGCUUCGGAGCAAAUGAAUCUUAUUAAACAACUACGCGAAAGAACGUGUGCCCCGAUCAAAGAUGUCAAAGCUUCGCUAGUCAGUUGCAACUGGGAUAUUGAGGAUGCACAAAAGGAUCUAAGGAAAAGAGGGGUGAUAUCUGCUGCCAAAAAGUCGUCAAGGACUGCUGCUGAAGGUUUGCUAGCUAUCGCACAAGAUGAGAAAAGGGCUGUUGUGGUCGAGCUAAACUGCGAGACUGACUUUGUGGCAAGAAAUGAUGUGUUCCAGUAUCUGGCUUCAUCCUUGGCAAAGAUGGCUUUGUCAGCACAGGAUCCCGGCAAAUUGGUUUUUCCUUUUGCUCCUGCAUAUUUGGAGAACAUGAGUAUUAACCUAGAUCAUCCUAAACUCAGUGGUGAAACAACUGUUCAAAAUGCUGUUACAGAAGUCGCUGCCAUGGUUGGGGAGAAUGUAAAACUCAGACGAGGUUUCAUGUUGUCCACGACUGGACAUGGUGUCGUUUCAUCUUAUCUGCAUACCUGUCCUCAGCCAGGUUUGGGCCGCAUUGCUGGAUUGAUUACAUUAGAAGCAGAAGAUAGCAGUGCUUCCCUUGAUGCUCUCAAGAGAGUUGGGUCGUCUAUCGCAAUGCAUAUUGUUGCAGCAAAACCAUUAUUCUUAUCAAAAGAAUUGGUUUCUGCUGCAGCUUUAGAAAAUGAACGUGACGUGCUCCGAACUCAGGCUGAAAGUUCAGGUAAACCCCAAAUGGCCAUAGAGAAAAUGGUGGAGGGCCGAUUGAGGAAGUAUUUUGAAGAUGUCGUGCUUUUGGAGCAAAAAUACGUUGUUAAUGAUAGCACAAACAUUAAGACUCUGCUGAAUGAUUUGUCAAAGGAGGUUGGUUCGAAAGUAACAAUUGGCAAUUUUAUCAGAAUGGAAGUUGGAGAAGGAAUUGAGAGCAGACCUGAGGAAACAGCUAAAAAAGAAGCUAUGGCUUGUGCUGCGUAA